Molecule: ribosomal RNA, 496 nt
Filed under: uncultured bacterium
Lineage: Bacteria
Description: bacterial SSU rRNA
Rfam family: Bacterial small subunit ribosomal RNA
Source: RNAcentral
UUCUGGCUCAGGAUGAACGCUAGCUACAGGCUUAACACAUGCAAGUCGAGCGGAACUUCUUCGGAAGUUUAGCGGCAGACGGGUGAGUAACACGUAUCCAACCUUUCCCUUACUCGGGUAUAGCCUCGGGAAACUGAGAGUAAUCCCCGAUGUGGUGCACGGAGAGCAUUUUUUGCGCACGAAAGAUUUAUCGGUAAGGGGUGGGGAUGCGUUCCAUUAGGUAGUAGGCGGGGUAACGGCCCACCUAGCCGAUGAUGGAUAGGGGUUCUGAGAGGAAGGUCCCCCACAUUGGAACUGCGACACGGUCCAAACUCCUACGGGAGGCAGCAGUGAGGAAUAUUGGUCAAUGGGCGAGGGCCUGAACCAGCCAAGUAGCGUGCAGGAUGACGGCCCUAUGGGUUGUAAACUGCUUUUGUGCGGGAAUAACGGUCUUUACGUGUAGAGAUGUGCAUGUACCGUACGAAUAAGGAUCGGCUAACUCCGUGCCAGCCGCCGC